Molecule: long non-coding RNA, 933 nt
Filed under: Sus scrofa (pig)
Lineage: Eukaryota; Metazoa; Chordata; Mammalia; Artiodactyla; Suidae
Description: lncRNA (ENSSSCG00055007826.1)
Source: RNAcentral
CACGUCUCCUGAAGGAAAAGGUCAGGAAGAAAGAAUGUGUUCCCAGAACUCAAACGAGCCCCAGGGAGGGCAGGGUCACCAAACUAGAAAAACAAAUCAGCCUGAAAUGCCAGGGACACCUGUGAGGGUCAGCGGGACCUUCAGAACUCGAACAAGUGGCUCCAGGCACACCUGCUCCCGGGCAUGACUACAAGUGUCCUGUGUGGGGGGCAGGCCGUCCCCCAUGGUCAGCAGGCAGAAGGCAGCUCGUGUAGCCCUCUGAUGGAACUUGGCUUCUCCUGCAGAAAAGAAGAUUCUCGAUAUACUCAUGGCAAAUUAGCACGAGAGUGACUGGUCAGUAAUACCAACAUAGCAUACAUUUUUUAGGAAAGACUCAACUGUGUAUGAGAUUAUGUAUGUUCAUAAAAUGAUGCGUGCGUGUGUGUAGAGACCAGACAGAAAGUCGUAGCUAAAAUAAAGAUGUGAGCAAACAGGAGCAGGGUCGCUCUUCCCGCAACCACCUCGCCCGAUCCCCUCCUCCCUGCCUCCCUGAAGCCCCGCGUCAUUGGCUUCCUAUCACUGACUUUCCAGCUCGUCAGCGUCCUGGUAAACAUACAAGAACUGAUCCUCUAAGCCCAGGUCUGGCGAGACUUUUGGUUGAUAUUUUCAUGUUAUAACAGCGGGUGGCAAGCUUCUUCUGUAAAGGGCCAGACCGUAAAUAUUCUAGGUUUUGCAGGGCACACGGUCCCAGUCACCCGCCAACAGCCACUGACACCAUGCAGGUGUUCCAGUAAAACCUCAGAAGCAAUUCCGGGAAGACAGUGGAGAAACAAUGAAGACGUGGGCAGGACCUUCACGCCUUUGUGCUGAGUUGCACCUGACCUCUCUGCUCAGGCAGACACUUGUUUUCAAAUACAAAAUAAGUGAAUAAAUAAAACGCAUGAAUGUCCCAUA